Molecule: long non-coding RNA, 432 nt
Filed under: Gossypium raimondii (Peruvian cotton)
Lineage: Eukaryota; Viridiplantae; Streptophyta; Magnoliopsida; Malvales; Malvaceae
Description: long non-coding RNA (GRAI_LNC008623)
Source: RNAcentral
GUGCUCAACUACUAGAAUGAAAUAUACGAAUGGGUGCAUUGGAUCUGUCAUCAAUGAAUUUGCCCCUCACAAAAAAUUGUGAAACCUCAUAAAACGUAAAUCUUUAGAUCAAAUGUAAAGAAAAACUAGUUUGGACUCAAUUCAUCAAGUUACCACAUACCCGAGAACAUUGAAUCAGCAUUGACUCAAGAAAACUUGGAUCUUCAUCGACUCAAUAAAGCUUCCUAAGGAGUAGCUAGGUGACAGUCUUAGGAAAAUUAUUAUUUCGAGCAACGCAAGCCUAUCAUGUCAAAAAAAAAAAAAAAAGGGUGGAUGAAGAAGUAGGAGACAUGGCAAAAAGGAAAGAGAGGAUGAUGGAUGGAAGGAAAGGGAGAGAGAAAAAAAAGAAAGAAAGAGGGAAAAUGGGUGAGAAAGGACUAGAGAUGAUAAAAU